GACGAACGCUGGCGGCGUGCUUAACACAUGCAAGUCGAACGGAAAGGCCCUGCUUUUGUGGGGUGCUCGAGUGGUGAACGGGUGAGUAACACGUGAGUAACCUGCCCUUGACUUUGGGAUAACUUCAGGAAACUGGGGCUAAUACCGGAUAGGAGCUCCUGCUGCAUGGUGGGGGUUGGAAAGUUUCGGCGGUUGGGGAUGGACUCGCGGCUUAUCAGCUUGUUGGUGGGGUAGUGGCUUACCAAGGCUUUGACGGGUAGCCGGCCUGAGAGGGUGACCGGCCACAUUGGGCCUGAGAUACGGCCCAGACUCCUACGGGAGGCAGCAGUGGGGAAUAUUGCACAAUGGGCGGAAGCCUGAUGCAGCAACGCCGCGUGCGGGAUGACGGCCUUCGGGUUGUAAACCGCUUUCGCCUGUGACGAAGCGUGAGUGACGGUAAUGGGUAAAGAAGCACCGGCUAACUACGUG
This 468-nucleotide ribosomal RNA is filed under the name uncultured bacterium. Its description in RNAcentral is "partial 16S ribosomal RNA". It matches the Rfam family "Bacterial small subunit ribosomal RNA", at positions 28 to 507 of the family's 1533-position model. The record is from RNAcentral.